AGUAACACGUAGGUAAUCUGCCUUAGGGGUUGGGGAUAGCCCAUGGAAACAUGGGGUAAUACCGAAUAGCUCCCUUUCAGCACAAGCGGGAAGGGGGAAAGGCGCUUAGGCGCCGCCUUAGGGUGAGCCUGCGGUCCAUUAGUUAGUUGGUGGGGUAAGAGCCUACCAAGGCAGCGAUGGAUAGCCGGCCUGAGAGGGUGAACGGCCACACUGGGACUGAGACACGGCCCAGACUCCUACGGGAGGCAGCAGCUAAGAAUCUUCCGCAAUGGGCGAAAGCCUGACGGAGCGAUGCCGCGUGAGUGAAGAAGGCGGGAACGUUGUAAAACUCUUUUCUCGGGGAGGAAUAAGGAGGGGAGGUAAUGCCCCUUUGAUGACGCGAACCGAGGAAUAAGCCCCGGCUAAUUACGUGCCAGCAGCCGCGGUAACACGUAAGGGGCGAGCGUUGUUCGGAAUUAUUGGGCGUAAAGGGCGUGUAGGCGGCGAUGUAAGCCUGGUGUGAAAGACUUCAGCUUAACUGGAGAGCCGCGCUGGGAACUAUGUUGCUUGAGUAUAGGAGGGGGAGCUGGAAUUCCAGGUGUAGGGGUGAAAUCUGUAGAUAUCUGGAAGAACACCGGAGGCGAAGGCGAGCUCCUGGCCAUAUACUGACGCUGAGGCGCGAAAGCGUGGGGAGCGAACAGGAUUAGAUACCCUGGUAGUCCACGCUGUAAACGUUGUGCACUAGGUGUCGGACUUACGGGUUCGGUACCGAAGUUAACGCGAUAAGUGCACCGCCUGGGGAGUAUGCUCGCAAGGGUGAAACUCAAAGGAAUUGACGGGGGCCCGCACAAGCGGUGGAGCAUGUGGUUUAAUUCGAUGAUACGCGAGAAACCUUACCAGGGUUUGACAUAUAGCAGACGGUCGUAGAGAUACGGCUUCCCUUCGGGGCUGUUAUACAGGUGCUGCAUGGCUGUCGUCAGCUCGUGCUGUGAAGUGUUGGGUUAAGUCCCGCAACGAGGGCAACCCGUACUGUCUGUUACCAUCAUUAAGUUGGGGAGUCAGACGGUACUGCCGGUGCCAAACCGGAGGAAGGUGGGGAUGAUGUCAAGUCAUCAUGUCCUUUAUGUCUUGGGGUACACUCGUGUUACAAUGGCC
This 1134-nucleotide ribosomal RNA is filed under the name uncultured organism. RNAcentral's name for it is "bacterial SSU rRNA". It matches the Rfam family "Bacterial small subunit ribosomal RNA", at positions 109 to 1235 of the family's 1533-position model. The record is from RNAcentral.